UAGCCAUUUUGCGACAUUGGUGCUCUAUCGUGUGUCGAGGUCCGCUGUAAGCACAGCCUAGCAUUUUAUUUUAUGAAAUUUUGUUUUGGUGUCAUUUUAUUGUCUUGAGUGUGGGUCCUGGUCCUUUCAGUGACCUUUGUGUUCAGACUUUUCAUGGUCCUUUUAAUUUUUAAGAAACAAAUGAGGGAAAGUUUGUUUUGUCCUUGCGCAUCUUGCUUUACGGCAGUCCUUGGCUUCGGGUGGCCCGGCACCCUAACCUUUCAUUUUAUUUUACCAUUAAAAUUGUUUCUAUCACUAUAUGUGUUCCUAAGCGAGUGAUUGUGUCUCGUGUUUCAUAGAUCUAGUGAAAAAUGAAGAGUUUUGUUUUCGAUGUACCGUGCCCACAUUGACCGUCUGGCCGGGCGUUUGUUGUUUUACGACAGUGAAUUUCCGGAAGUGCCUGUCCCUCGCCACCACUCGAAGUCGUUUGGGUUCUCUCGGGACUUAAUUUCUGGCAAUAAUUGCAUGUUCAGUAUCACGUGGAUCAGUACAGUUCUGUUCUCAGUCUUGCAUGCAUGUCCUUUGAAAAUCGUGGAGCAAUUUCAAUUCAUACCCAGAAUGCGGUCUCCCUGUUCUCUGGGAGGUAAUGGCCCUUGCAGGGUACCGUACGUACUUGUGAAUAUUAUUUUAGAACCCUACGUGUGCACUUAGUACGUGGCCGUUUCUCUAAAUGUUGGUUUAGGUUCUCCUUCCCAGGUGUUCUCCUAUAGAAAAAGCUGAUUUGUGUUAUUCUGUCUUUACAGACAAGGAAGAUAUUCCAAGACAACUCCUAUCCUCCUUGUUUGAGGUCCUGGGCCAGACUGCAUGCGCUACUGUUCCUGCACUCCACUACCACCCCCUUCCCCUCUCGCCGGAUGGUGCGGGCCCUGCCGCUUUGGUCACAAGUGCUGACUGUGCCUUAAUGCCUAAGUGCUAGAACACUGGCCUACGAAAUAGGCAGCGUCUGCCUAUUUAUACUCAUGCCUCCAUUAUGUGACACCUAAUGUGUAUUCAAGGGGAGAAUGAAAGGGAAACUGUUGGGUUGCUCAAACCCUGAGGAUGGAUCUUAAUCAGACCUGAGGUUCAAAUGAAGAGUCCAGGGCUGGUCAUCCGGUGGGCCUGCAAUGGGAAGAGAGUGGACCAGGAGUCACUAUCCACAUGAGCCAGACAAAAAAGCAUCCUAGUAGCGAGUAGAAACAGCAGGGACUUGAUGGGAGUGUCCCAAAUAAGCUUCAGGAAUCCAGAGAUUGUUAGAGGGCAGCACAUGUGCUUUUCUUCAGGGCCAGCACACAUUUCCUCAGUGAUUACUGGACCUCUCUUUGGGAGCCAGCCUCUUUCAUCCUGCUGUGAUGUCAGGAGGAUGCCCAGCAAUUCAGACGUCACCUGUCUGUGAGCCACGUUCUUUGCUGGCUGACUGGGACGCGUUACGUGGAAGUCAAUGGGGCUCAGCACCAAGUUCAGGCUGGAGGGUGCUCGUUAACUGGCAGUGCCGAAAAGGUCUCUUCUCUUUCUUUGCCUGUGUAAAGUCACUUCUCUUCUGGGCUGUGGUUAGAGCACUGAAACUCAGAUGAGGGCUUCUGACAGCCUGCAGGGGACAGCCCUAAAUGGGCACAUGAAUUAUUCUACAGUGCAUUCAAAGACACUUCCCACCUUUGGUCUCAUAGGUGGUUCCUUUAUUGCUUUAUUAGCCCAGGUCUUAUACAGGAGGUGGCAUCACAGAACCUGCGGCUCACUCACCAAAGGCCAACACUAUCCCCAUUUCUCUGUGAGUGGAAACGAAAGUGUGUAGCCUCUAUGCAUCAUGUUGACAUUUCACAAACUUUUUAUUUGCCCUUGCAAUUGGUCAAAUGACUUUAAUUCUUUGGAAGAUGGGCAUCCUUACGGUUUUCCACUCACUGAAAACCUGAGGCCUGAGAUACGUAGGAGACCGCAUACCCGAACCCGUGUUUCUUCCCCACGUGACGUGGCGGUGACCAAGACUGGCCUAUCUGCUUGCCAAAAACAGCUGUGCAACUUAACCUUAACUGUGAUGCCUUCUUCCCCUUCCACACACUUGUGCCCACUGCCCAUCAAAGUCGCUUGGGCGCAGACCUAAGUGGAGGGCUCAGUGAGUAAAUCUGCUGACUACUGGAACUUCAAAAUAAGCCCCAAGUUUGCAUAUUCCAAAAGGGGACCCUCCUUGGUGGCGUUCUCAAAAUUGCACACUCUCAGGGGUGGAGGAGGUGGCCCUCCCCAGCAUGGCAGGUGGGAUCCAGCUGGUGGUUCUUUCCCAGGAGUUCACUCCUCGGCCAGCCAGGCCCGUUAGCCUGGUCGUGAGGCAUGUACUCAGUGAAUGUCUGCUCACUUGUGGGACUCUUAAUGUGCUGUAAAUACUUCGUGUAAAGUAUCCCACAGCAAACCCUGUUUGCCUGGGUGUUUUCUCAUUCCUCUGAGUUACGUAGGUGAUGACAAGAGAAUGGAUACGUCACCCACAUGAUGUAAAGGGAAUGGGCGCUUACCUUAAGGCGAGGCCUUAGAAGUAGAAUGUGUUCCUCGUUUUACUGUACCCAGGUUGUAUGCCCACUUUGUAUGACUGCAUAAUAUUCCAUCGUAUAUGUGUGCCACAUUUGCCUUUAUCUGUUCAUCUGUUGACAGACACUUAAGUGUUUUUCAUGUCGUGGCUAUCGUGAAUAAUGCUGCAUAGCGUGUGGGGGUGCAGCAAUCUCUUUGAAAUGGUGAUUUCACUUCCUUCAGAGAUAUCCCCAGAAGUGGCAUUGCUGAAUCACCUGGUAGAUCUGGUUCUAAUUUUUGGAGGAACACGCAUACUGUUUUCCAUAGUGGCUGCACUAGUUUACGUGGGAGAGAGAGCACAUCUUGAACUAAAUGGAUAUAAUGACAGUUUCUCCAGCCACGUUACAUUGUCUGUUCUUUUCAGGACAGGAACAAUGGAGGUUAGAGGCCUAAAAGGGAGCAGGGCUAUUAUCAUCAGGAAAGAUGGAAAGAGCACCUUGCUGUGGUCCUUUUAGGUGCUUAAUGCCUAGAGGUGGGGAGAGGUCUGGGUCUCAGAGCCUGAGGCAAAACGGGGACAGGAGGAUAGGGGGCCCUCAGUGUGAAAAGAGUAGUAGUGGGUUGUGUGUGUUCAAGAGUGUCUCUUGCCCACUUCCCGAUGCCUGGCACUUCCUGGCAUCACACAGCGGGAGGACAGAGGACCAGAGUGCAUACUGUUGAGUGGGACACAAGAAUAUGUGGUCCUGUGGCAAGGCGAGGCUUUGAUUAUGGGGGCUACUUCUUAUUUUCCGGCUUCCCUGAGGAUUUGGGGCUCUGGUACUGAGGUGGUUUGCGCUCUCAUCUUGGCCUUGGCCUGUGCGAAUGCAGUGUCUUGCUUGGCCUGUGAACAGCCGGCUCAGGAAAGGUGGCCCUUGGCCUUCCUCUGCUGUUGUCCAGAGCAGUGACCUGAGGGAGUCCUGUGAGAGGCCACCACUGUGGUGUCUGGCGAGUGGUGCCACUUGGCUGAGUUGACUAUUGGGCCUCUCGUAUGGAUAGUGAGCUGUGUUCCCACAGAGAAUGGCUGUCGCCAGCAUCGUCCUCUGGAUACACUGGGAGUGCCGGACACUUCUUCCUUUGACACUUGCCAUGGCUGAAAUUCCUCAUGAAUUCCUGAGGAAAGUUCAUACUGGCAUGGAGGCAUCUGGGGCCUGGGGAAUGUCGGGCCCGGGAAGAUGCUGAGUGUGACCGGUUGUGGGGCUUCUGAAGAUGCUGAAAGAGAUUGCUGGCUGCGCCACAGAGCAGUAGCAUUUUAGGAGUCUUGAGGAGCCCUCUGCUCUGUGUGGGAAUGGGGCUGGAGUGGUAGCCGGGUCUUCCCGUAGUCGCCUUCUGCACGCUUCUGCUGAGUAUAGUCUGCACAUUGGGGGGGCAAGAAACACCAACCACGUGGUUCCUGUCAGUGAUGGGUUCUCUGGCCACGUUUGAUUGUUGGUUCUUUUCAGGAGACGAACAAUAGAGGUUAGAGCUGGGGACGCUUGGAUCGCCAGGCCUGUGCGGCUGAGCCUGGAUGUUCAGGAUCCUCCUGGAUAGCUCUCCAGGCUGGAGGAUUAAGCCCUCCUGUUCCCCUUGUUGAAGAGGGGACAUACCUGCAGGCUGGAGCUGCCCCUUGUGCUGUUUGUCUGCUAGGAGGCAUCGCCACUAGGAUGUGUGACUCCUCUGCCAUCUCGGUCUUCUCAGGAGGGGGUGACAUUGCCUCCAGGGGACCUUGUGUGCACUCUCAAGGAGGAGGACGUCGUAGACCCAGCUGGGCGCUUCAGGAAUGGGGUGCGGUGCCGCAGCUGCUGGAGGGCUGAGCGGAUAUCGGGGGGCUUGGGGGAGCUGCAGUGUGAGGCGGGUGCUUGGGGGGAGCUCUGGUUGCCUUAUUUUGCCUUUUGGUUGAACUUAGUGACUGAACCAUGGGGCUGGCACAUAAGGGGCCCAGCCGGGAUAUAAGGACAGUCUGCGAGCAUAAGGAAAUCACAGACAGUGAGGAGGCUGAGACUUUCGUGAGAGUUGUGCUGGGCAUUGUGGUUCAGGGGUGUGUCUGUCUCCUGCCCCCUUUGCCCACCCCUCACGCUGCCUUUGGCCCAGCAUGCCUGCGGGACAGCAGACCACCGUGGACACUGACAGAUAUGAUGUGAGAAACUGUGGCUCUCUCGUAAAGCUGAGAUGCUUAUUACGGGGACAGGCUUUAUUUUCGGUUUACCUGAUGAAUUGUGGCCUUCUCCUUGGGGGAGAGGUUUUGCUAUCUCAUCCUUAUUCUGUGUUGCCUCAGGUCUGUGAAAACAGACUACUGGGGGAAGAUCGCCUUCAUCCUGCCAUUUUUCUGUGUAGUAUGGUCACCUGAGGGUGCUCUGAGAAGGAAUUGCAAGUGCUGUUGCUGGUCUUCUUCAGAAGAUCGCCCUGUUUGCUUGCUGUGUCCUGCAACUGAAUUCUCUUAGGGGAGCUGCUCAGGUUCUUUUCCCUCCCCGCUUUCAGCAGGGUUUAAACUCCAUUUCUGCUGCAACUUCCUAAGUUGUUCCCUGUGCACUUCAUUCUCAGCUUCUGUAAGCAUUUUUGCUGCCAGUCCUUGAGGGUUGAACAUUCCUGGGUUGUAAAAUUGAUAGGAUGCCUUUUUUGCUUUGAAAUAUUUGCAUACAUUACAAAGAGGCAAAGAAAGAACUUAGCAAUAUUCUAACGUACAUGUUCUAAGGAAUGGGAAGGGAGAUGUCUGUUAUCUUUUAUCAACAGGGAUAAUUUGACUUUUAUUUGUCAUUUUAUUUUUCCUUACUACACACUGGUAUGAGAAACAUGGUCUCCUUGGUAUCUGUGCCCCACCCAAAUUGGUGAAUCUCGAGUCGUGGUCAAAGUCGGGCCUGUGCAGAGAACAUUGUCGAGAAGAAGUUGUGCUAAGAGCACCUGAAGGGUGGUUCAUAAGUACCUGCAUUUGCUUAUGCAAUGCAUAAUAAUCUAGCCUGCUUAUGCUUGUAUCCAUACCUAUGUUCUCAGGGGCAGUGCUGUAUGAUCAGUGUGAUCAAGUGGAACGAGGAUUAAAACUGCCGACCUUGUUUAGAAAUGGUGUAUGCUGAUACGCUGAUGUCAGCCUUUGGUUGGCAAGUUGAGCCGUACCUUUCCUUUUAUACCUUCCAUUUCUUGAGUGCCAUGAGGGAUCAGCUGUUUGAUUUCUGUCUUUUGAUACACAGGAUGUGAUCAGGAUACAUGUUAGGAGGUAAGGACUGAGAUCUACAUUAGUGGAUAUUUAGUGUGCAGGCCUCUCAAAAUGGUGGGGAAAAUGUGCAAAAUGUGUGCACUUCUGUAUACUUUGGUCUCCUCUAGAUCCCUGUGGAUUUGAAUUAGCCCUCUCAUUCUGUCAGGCUGACUCCAGGGGCACAGCGUAUGGGUUGCUGACUUUUGCCAAUCAGGCCAUCUCACAGUUUAGAUUUGGGUUGGCGUUCUGGGCUUUCCUUGCCUCUUAUUCCUAUGCAGACCCACUGUACUGCAUCUUUUCAGCCUCAGAAAAGUACAGCAGUAGGCUGUAUUUAGUGAAUCCUAAGGAGAUUCACUGAUUUUCUCAGUUUCCCCCAUCAGUAGACACAGUGGCCUUGCAGAAUGCGGAAAGGCCUGCUAUGGUCUCUGCUACAGGUUGUGCGGUCCGGGUGCUGACCCACAGGAUACGGAAUGUGGUUAAAGCCAGGAGCCAAGCACCUGUGUUUCUCCUCCAGAGCUCAGAAUACAUGGCUUGUAUACUUAAAAAUGUGCUAUGAGGUUAGAUCUUCUUCUACCUUCUGUCAUUCUUAUUAGAACAAAAAUAUUAGUACUAAUUAGGGUGGAAUGAAACUUUGGCAGGGAUGGAUGUGUUAUGGCAUAGAUUAUGGUGAUAUUUCAUUAAUAUAUACUUAUUCCAACCUCAUUAAGUUGUAUAAAUUAAAUAUGUACAGCUUUUUGUAUGUCAAUCAUACUAUCAUUCCUCAAAUAAGAGGUUUAAAAUAAUAAUAAAAAGACCUUCACAUGAUUACAGAUGAGUGCUCCCCCUCAAAUGUUUUUAGAUUUUAGAACUGAAGGGGAAGGAUAUGUCUGCAUGGGGAAAUGGGUAAUGCCAUUUACUGCUUCUGUAUUAUUGUUUGGCUUGAUUUUUUCAUUUGUAUGUAGCAUUUACAUUGACCGUGUAUAAGGUUAACCUUUAGUCCAUAGGAUUUUGAAUUCCACAGAGCUACAGCAGUUCUAUAGAAGCCAUGUACUUCACCUGGAGGACCUCGACUCAAGGAGUGGCCCUGUGUCAUCACCUAUUUGUCAGAUGAGCACAAAUUGACUUUGGGGUACUAUGAAUUUGGGAUUCGCUUGGACUCUGGAUUGUUUUCAUUGUUUACAAUGUGUGCUUUUGUGCAUACUCAAUAAAUCUUUUAAAAUAUUUUACAUAUGGGGACAUGUCCAAAUGUACAUGUACUAUAUUUGCAUUCUACAGAGUGGAAGGCAGUAAUCUCAGGCUGACUGGUGUCUCUGAUUGGCACCUUUUCUCUGAGACCUACCCACUCCUUCUGUUCACCGUGUGACUGAGUUCCCAGGCCAUAGCUAUGUGGUUUGGUACUUUUGACAUUAUUCUACUUAAGCUGAUCAUACUUUUGUUACAUUUAGAGUUUGGGACUAGACCUCAAGAUUGAGCCAUAGCCUGCAAAGGCUCAUUAAUAUCCUUUCAUUGCAGAGAAUAUUAUUUAAAAGUCAUAUUGUUGAGUCUCCCUAAGCUGUCCUCACUUGCCUUUGAAAUGUAUCUGUUGCUUGUGUCUUGCAUCUUAUAAAAUACUUGUGUUCUUCCAACAAAAUGUCUCAGA
Molecule: long non-coding RNA, 7325 nt
Organism: Manis pentadactyla (Chinese pangolin)
Lineage: Eukaryota; Metazoa; Chordata; Mammalia; Pholidota; Manidae
Exons: 5
Source: RefSeq, a predicted model, not a curated record